GACGAACGCUGGCGGCGUGCUUAACACAUGCAAGUCGAACGGAAAGGCCCUGCUUUUGUGGGGUGCUCGAGUGGCGAACGGGUGAGUAACACGUGAGUAACCUGCCCUUGACUUUGGGAUAACUUCAGGAAGCUGGGGCUAAUACCGGAUAGGAGCUCCUGCUGCAUGGUGGGGGUUGGAAAGUUUCGGCGGUUGGGGAUGGACUCGCGGCUUAUCAGCUUGUUGGUGGGGUAGUGGCUUACCAAGGCUUUGACGGGUAGCCGGCCUGAGAGGGUGACCGGCCACAUUGGGACUGAGAUACGGCCCAGACUCCUACGGGAGGCAGCAGUGGGGAAUAUUGCACAAUGGGCGGAAGCCUGAUGCAGCAACGCCGCGUGCGGGAUGACGGCCUUCGGGUUGUAAACCGCUUUCGCCUGUGACGAAGCGUGAGUGACGGUAAUGGGUAAAGAAGCAACGGCUAACUACGUG
RNAcentral lists this ribosomal RNA (468 nucleotides) under uncultured bacterium. Its description in RNAcentral is "partial 16S ribosomal RNA". It matches the Rfam family "Bacterial small subunit ribosomal RNA", at positions 28 to 507 of the family's 1533-position model. The record is from RNAcentral.